GAGUUUGAUCCUGGCUCAGGAUGAACGCUGGCGGCGUGCUUAACACAUGCAAGUCGAACGAAGCUGCUUAACUGAUCUUCUUCGGAAUUGACGUUUUGUAGACUGAGUGGCGGACGGGUGAGUAACGCGUGGGUAACCUGCCCUGUACAGGGGGAUAACAGUCAGAAAUGACUGCUAAUACCGCAUAAGACCACAGCACCGCAUGGUGCAGGGGUAAAAACUCCGGUGGUACAGGAUGGACCCGCGUCUGAUUAGCUGGUUGGUGAGGUAACGGCUCACCAAGGCGACGAUCAGUAGCCGGCUUGAGAGAGUGAACGGCCACAUUGGGACUGAGACACGGCCCAAACUCCUACGGGAGGCAGCAGUGGGGAAUAUUGCACAAUGGGGGAAACCCUGAUGCAGCGACGCCGCGUGAGUGAAGAAGUAUCUCGGUAUGUAAAGCUCUAUCAGCAGGGAAGAAAAUGACGGUACCUGACUAAGAAGCCCCGGCUAACUACGUGCCAGCCGCCGCGGUAAUAC
This 519-nucleotide ribosomal RNA is filed under the name uncultured bacterium. RNAcentral's name for it is "bacterial SSU rRNA". It matches the Rfam family "Bacterial small subunit ribosomal RNA", at positions 9 to 526 of the family's 1533-position model. The record is from RNAcentral.